Molecule: ribosomal RNA, 551 nt
Filed under: uncultured organism
Description: SSU rRNA
Rfam family: Bacterial small subunit ribosomal RNA
Source: RNAcentral
GUGCCAGCAGCCGCGGUAAUACGUAGGGUGCGAGCGUUGUCCGGAAUUACUGGGCGUAAAGAGCUCGUAGGUGGUUUGUCGCGUUGUUCGUGAAAACUCACAGCUUAACUGUGGGCGUGCGGGCGAUACGGGCAGACUAGAGUACUGCAGGGGAGACUGGAAUUCCUGGUGUAGCGGUGGAAUGCGCAGAUAUCAGGAGGAACACCGGUGGCGAAGGCGGGUCUCUGGGCAGUAACUGACGCUGAGGAGCGAAAGCGUGGGGAGCGAACAGGAUUAGAUACCCUGGUAGUCCACGCCGUAAACGGUGGGUACUAGGUGUGGGUUCCUUCCUUGGGAUCCGUGCCGUAGCUAACGCAUUAAGUACCCCGCCUGGGGAGUACGGCCGCAAGGCUAAAACUCAAAGGAAUUGACGGGGGCCCGCACAAGCGGCGGAGCAUGUGGAUUAAUUCGAUGCAACGCGAAGAACCUUACCUGGGUUUGACAUGCACAGGACGCCGGCAGAGAUGUCGGUUCCCUUGUGGCCUGUGUGCAGGUGUGCAUGAAGGGCGAUU